This 120-nucleotide ribosomal RNA is filed under the name Nicotiana attenuata. The record is from RNAcentral. Lineage: Eukaryota; Viridiplantae; Streptophyta; Magnoliopsida; Solanales; Solanaceae.
GGAUGCGAUCAUACCAGCACUAACGCACCGGAUCCCAUCAAAACUCCGAAGUUAAGCGUGCUUGGGCGAGAGUAGUACUAGGAUGGGUGACCCCCUUGGGAAGUCCUCGUGUUGCAUCCC